UUGAACGCUGGCGGCAGGCCUAACCCAUGCCAGUCGAGCGGAUGAAGGGAGCUUGCUCCUGGAUUCAGCGGCGGACGGGUGAGUAAUGCCUAGGAAUCUGCCUGGUAGUGGGGGAUAACGUCCGGAAACGGGCGCUAAUACCGCAUACGUCCUGAGGGAGAAAGUGGGGGAUCUUCGGACCUCACGCUAUCAGAUGAGCCUAGGUCGGAUUAGCUAGUUGGUGGGGUAAAGGCCUACCAAGGCGACGAUCCGUAACUGGUCUGAGAGGAUGAUCAGUCACACUGGAACUGAGACACGGUCCAGACUCCUACGGGAGGCAGCAGUGGGGAAUAUUGGACAAUGGGCGAAAGCCUGAUCCAGCCAUGCCGCGUGUGUGAAGAAGGUCUUCGGAUUGUAAAGCACUUUAAGUUGGGAGGAAGGGCAGUAAGUUAAUACCUGGCUGUUUUGACGUUACCAACAGAAUAAGCACCGGCUAACUUCGU
This 482-nucleotide ribosomal RNA is filed under the name uncultured bacterium. RNAcentral describes it as "partial 16S ribosomal RNA". It matches the Rfam family "Bacterial small subunit ribosomal RNA", at positions 30 to 506 of the family's 1533-position model. The record is from RNAcentral.